CAGGCCUAACACAUGCAAGUCGAGCGGUAACAGGUGUAGCAAUACAUGCUGACGAGCGGCGAACGGGUGAGUAAUGCUUCGGAAUCUACCUUAUGGUGGGGAAUAACUAGCCGAAAGGUUAGCUAAUACCGCAUACGUCCUACGGGAGAAAGCAGGGGAUCGCAAGACCUUGCGCCAAAAGAUGAGCCGAAGUCGGAUUAGCUAGUUGGUAGGGUAACGGCCUACCAAGGCGACGAUCCGUAGCUGGUCUGAGAGGACGACCAGCCACACUGGGACUGAGACACGGCCCAGACUCCUACGGGAGGCAGCAGUGGGGAAUAUUGGACAAUGGGGGAAACCCUGAUCCAGCGACGCCGCGUGUGUGAAGAAGGCCUGCGGGUUGUAAAGCACUUUUAGUGGGGAUGAAAUGUGCAGGGCUAACACCUCUGCAUUUUGACCUAACCCACAGAAAAAGCACCGGCUAACUCUGUGCCAGCAGCCGCGGUAAU
Molecule: ribosomal RNA, 488 nt
Filed under: uncultured bacterium
Lineage: Bacteria
Description: bacterial SSU rRNA
Rfam family: Bacterial small subunit ribosomal RNA
Source: RNAcentral